RNAcentral lists this non-coding RNA (31 nucleotides) under Rattus norvegicus (Norway rat). Lineage: Eukaryota; Metazoa; Chordata; Mammalia; Rodentia; Muridae. The record is from RNAcentral.
UGAAGCAUAGCUUGCAGACGCGCCUUGCCUU